This 21-nucleotide non-coding RNA is filed under the name Arabidopsis thaliana (thale cress). RNAcentral also lists the same sequence under 1 other name. The record is from RNAcentral. Lineage: Eukaryota; Viridiplantae; Streptophyta; Magnoliopsida; Brassicales; Brassicaceae.
CAAUGUGAUUUCUGCCCAGUG